RNAcentral lists this ribosomal RNA (528 nucleotides) under Penaeus merguiensis. Its description in RNAcentral is "partial 16S ribosomal RNA". Lineage: Eukaryota; Metazoa; Arthropoda; Malacostraca; Decapoda; Penaeidae. The record is from RNAcentral.
CGUUGAGAAGUUCGUUGUGCAAAUCAAUGUAUCUUGAAAAUUAAAUCUUAUUAGUUAAGUUAAUAAUUGUGUUGUUACUGGCAGUAAUAAAAUUAUUUUUAAAUUUCAUUUUUUUAGUAGAGUGAAUCGAAAAAAAUAUAUAAGAGUUAUAGAGUAAAGUACUGUAAAGGAAAGAUGAAAUAUAUUGAAAAUUGAAUUUAUAUAAAGUAAAGUUAAAAACUUGUACCUUGUGUAUUAGGGAAAAUUAAAAUAAGCUUAAUAAAAGAGGAAUCCCGAAAGAGAAAGAGCUAAUAUAAAUAUGUAGUUUUCGUCUUAAUGAAAUUAUAAAGUUUAUGUUAGUAGUGAAAUGCUAGCCGAUUUUUCAUAUCUGGUUAUUGGUGAAUUAAAUUAAAUUUAAUUAUCUAGUGGUAUAAUAAAGCUAUAAGAUAGUAAAGAGUAGGAGGGAAAAGCUUCUUAUUCUAAAAUAGGUGAAUCAUGAUAAAAGAAAAAAGAGAAUAUUGUUGAAUUAGGCUUAAAAACAGCCAUAUU